AUUGAACGCUGGCGGCAUGCUUUACACAUGCAAGUCGAACGGUAACAGCACUUCGGUGGCUGACGAGUGGCGAACGGGUGAGUAAUACAUCGGAACGUGCCUAGUAGUGGGGGAUAACUACUCGAAAGAGUAGCUAAUACCGCAUGAGAUCUAAGGAUGAAAGCAGGGGACCUUCGGGCCUUGCGCUACUAGAGCGGCUGAUGGCAGAUUAGGUAGUUGGUGGGAUAAAAGCUUACCAAGCCGACGAUCUGUAGCUGGUCUGAGAGGACGACCAGCCACACUGGGACUGAGACACGGCCCAGACUCCUACGGGAGGCAGCAGUGGGGAAUUUUGGACAAUGGGCGCAAGCCUGAUCCAGCAAUGCCGCGUGCAGGAUGAAGGCCUUCGGGUCGUAAACUGCUUUUGUACGGAACGAAAAGCCCUCUUCUAAUACAGGAGGGUCAUGACGGUACCGUAAGAAUAAGCACCGGCUAACUACGUG
This 482-nucleotide ribosomal RNA is filed under the name uncultured bacterium. RNAcentral describes it as "partial 16S ribosomal RNA". It matches the Rfam family "Bacterial small subunit ribosomal RNA", at positions 30 to 507 of the family's 1533-position model. The record is from RNAcentral.